Molecule: long non-coding RNA, 3530 nt
Organism: Meriones unguiculatus (Mongolian gerbil)
Lineage: Eukaryota; Metazoa; Chordata; Mammalia; Rodentia; Muridae
Exons: 2
Source: RefSeq, a predicted model, not a curated record
GCUAGAGCGGAAUGUUGCACGGAUUUUAGAGCGGGGGUGGAGUUUGCGCUGGUGCGGAAGGCUCGGUACCGCAGCGGGGUUCUUAAAGGGUCUGCGUUUGGAGUGCGGAGAGACCGGGCUAGGGCUUCAGAGCUGUCAGCCUUUGGGAGAAGUCGAGCUUGCGGGUCUCAGGUUCAGCGGUGGAGGCCCCGGGUCCUGCGUUUUCCGGCACGGAAAGAAUUGGAAAGUACUUGAACAAUAAAGAAAAGAAAAUGACAAACUCCCCAGAGACAUUCAGUAUUGAUCAUGCAGUGCAAAAUGAAUUGGUUUGCAGCUUUACAUGAGCCAUGGCCCCACCACUUCAUUUCACAAAGAGGAAAUGACUCUGAAAGACUCUGAAAGCCACGGGUUAUAAAACAAGUCACUGAUGAAACUAAGGUCUUUUUUUUUUUUUUUUGAUGGUCUGCCUGUAGUAUUUUCAACCCUACUGUGUUGUGACCACAAGCGAGAGUAUGAAUGCCUUCUCAGUGAGUGCCCAGAAUAGAACUGAUUAUUAUGAAAACUAAGCAGCAGAAUUUUAAAAAUAAUAAUAAUUUCAAGUUUUUUGUCCUGUCUCCCACAUUUUUUUUAAUUAAGUAAUUCUUUAUACAGUUGUAAGGUGACAUCUUGAUGCCAUAUCAUACUUUGGAGAUUUAAAAAAAAAAAAAAUUGCAGGUGUACUUAUAUACUAGCACUCUGUAUCACUCAUUUCUGUAUAGUCAGUUGAAUAUUACUCUUUAAUGCCUAACAUCCCUUAUUUGUAAAACACCCAAACACUGAAAGUCAACCAUUCUAUGUCACUAUUUUCCUUUGCAACUGUAUUUUCAUUCUAUACAGAAUUUGAUCCUGAUGUAACUUACAGUUUUGAAGAGGUGACCUUCCAUUAUAAAUACAUAACAAUAAAAUAUCUCUUACCACUACAUAACAUAAAAUGUAUUAAAUUGUAAUUUCAAGGAAUUUCUUGGGAUCAGAACAUUAAUUUUUCUUUUUGAUUAAGUUGUCUUACAAUUACAAAGGUAAUGAAACAAUAUGAGUAGAUCUUUUUUAAAUUUAACUUUAUUUUUUUAUAAUUUAUUCACUUUACAUCCCAAUUGUAGUCCGCUCCCUCAUCUCCGCCCUGUCCCAUUCUCCCUCCUCCUACCCCCUUAUCCCCUCUUAUUUCUCUGACCCCAGCCUGUCAAGUUUCCUUAGGACUGUUUGCAUCCUCUUCCUCUGUGGCCUGGCAAUGGCCCCCCAUCAGAGGGAAGUGAUCAAAGAAUGGACAACAGAGUCCAUGUCAGAGACAGCCCCUGCUCCCCUUACUAGGGAACUCACAUGAAGAGUGAGCUGCCUAUGGGCUACAUCUGAGAGGGGUCUAGGUCCUUCUCAUACAUGGUCCUUGGCAGGUCCCCAUGGGCCGAGAUUUGUUGACUCUGUUGGUCUUCUGGAGGUCCUACCUGCUUUGGGCCCUUCUAUUCCCCACUCUUUCCUAUGACUCCCUGCGCUCUGCCCAAAGUUUGGCUGUGAGUUGCAUGUGCUUUGAUCCCCUGUUGGGUGGAGUCUGUCAGAGGACAUUUCUGUUAGGCUCCCAUCUUCAACCACUUCCAGUGUUUAUUCUGUUUGCCCUUCUGAAUAAGAAUUAAGCAUCCUCCCUAGGGUCCUCAUUAUUUAGCUUUUUAGGUCUGUGGAUUGUAGUAUAGUUAUCCUGAACUUCAUGGCUAAAACCGCUUAUAAGUGAGUAUAUUCCAUGUGCAUCUUUCUGGUUCUAGGUUACCUCACUUAGGAUGAUCUUUUCUAGUUCCAUCCAUUUGCCUGCAAAUUUCAUGAUUUCCUUGUUUUUAAUAGUAUUUAAUAGUGAAUAGUAUUCCGUUGUGUAAAUGUACCACAACUUCUGUAUCCAUUUUUCAGUUGAGGGACAUCUAGGUUGUUUCCAGACUCUGGUUAUUAUGAAUAGAGUGGCUGUGAACAUAGUUGAGCAAAUGUAAUUGUUGUGUGGUGGAGCGGUUUUUUUUUUUUUUGUUUUUUUUUUUUGGUUAUAUGCCCAGGAGUGGCAUACCUCAGUAUUGAGGUGGCACUAGUCCCAACUUUCUGAGAAAGUGCCAGAUUGAUUUCCAAAUUGGUUAUACUAGUUCCCUUUCUCCACAUCCUCGCUAGCAUGUGCUAUCACUUGAAUGAGUAAAUCUUAAGAUAAAAAAAAAUCAGAAAAAGGGGGGAUAGGGGAGUGAGAGGAAGGAUAAAAAGACAGCUUUUAUAAAGAUGUAUGACAUGAAUAAGCCAUAUUUCCAUUAAUAAGAAACUGCUCAGUCAAUUAGGAAUAAUGCUUCCUCAAGAUCCAGCUAUACCACUCCUGGGCAUAUAUCCAAAAUAUGCUUAAGUACACAACAAGGACAUUUGUUCAACCAUGUUCAUAGCAGCUUUAUUUGUAAUAGCCAGAACCUGGAAACAACCCAGAUGUCCCUCAGCAGAGGAGUGGAUACAGAAAUUGUGGUACAUUUACACAAUGGAAUACUACUAAGCAAUUAAAAACAAGGAAAUCAUGAAAUUUGCAGGCAAAUGGUGGGACCUAGAAAAGAUCAUCCUGAGUGAGGUAUCCCAGAAGCAGAAAGACACACAUGGUAUAUACUAACUUAUAAGUGGAUACUAGACCUAUAAGAUACGAUAAACAUACUAAAAUCUGUACACCUAAAGAAGCUAAACAAGAAGGUAAGAUGAUCAGUCUUUACUUAGAAAGACAAAUUGGAUGGACAUUGGAAGUAGGAGAAAAUGAGAAGCAGAACAGGAGCCUUCCAUAGAGGGCCUCUGAAAGACUCUAGCAGUGUAUCAAAGCAGAUGCUGAGACUCAUGGCCAAACUUUGGGCAGAAUUCAUGAAAGAAGAGAGAGUUAGUAAGACCUAGAGAGGACAGGAGCUCUACAAGGACCAAAUAUAUCUGGGCACAGGAUCUUGUCUGAGACUGAUUCUCCAGCAAAGGACCAGGCCUGGAUAUAACCUAGAACCCUUACUCGGAUGUAGCCCAUGGCAGCUCAGUAUCCAAGUGGCUAGUAAAGGGAACAAGGACUGUCUCUGGCAUGACCUCUGUGGCUAGCUCUUUGACGACCCCAAUCCCUGUGGGAGGAGCAGCCUAGCUAGGCCACAGAGGAGGACACUGUAGCCAGUCCUGGUGAGACCUGAUAAGCUAGGGUCGGGAGGAAGGGGAGGAAGCCCUCCCCUAUCAGUGGACUUAGAGAGGGGCAGGGAGGAGAUGAGGGAGGGAGGGUGGGAUUGGGAGGAAAUGAGAGAGGGAGCUACAGCUGGGAUAUAAAGUAAAUAAACUGUAAUUAUUAUAAAAAAAAUUAAUUUAAAAAAUAAAACCACAAAAAAAAGGCCUGUGUGUGGAAAGCAGGACACAAAAUUACUUCUUAAGUGUGUAUUGUAUGAAUAUUAUAAAAAUGUCUUGUUUCAUUUUCAUAUUGUUUGUUUAACUGAAAUAAAAAUGGCCUUCUAUUUUAGUUAUUUAAAAUAAUAAUAAUAAAGAUAUUUAUCUCAAAAAUAAAA